AGUGAACGCUGGCGGUAGGCCUAACACAUGCAAGUCGAACGGCAGCGCAGUAAGAGCUUGCUCUUACGGGUGGCGAGUGGCGGACGGGUGAGGAAUACAUCGGAAUCUACUUUUUCGUGGGGGAUAACGUAGGGAAACUUACGCUAAUACCGCAUACGACCUACGGGUGAAAGCAGGGGAUCUUCGGACCUUGCGCGAUUGAAUGAGCCGAUGUCGGAUUAGCUAGUUGGCGGGGUAAAGGCCCACCAAGGCGACGAUCCGUAGCUGGUCUGAGAGGAUGAUCAGCCACACUGGAACUGAGACACGGUCCAGACUCCUACGGGAGGCAGCAGUGGGGAAUAUUGGACAAUGGGCGCAAGCCUGAUCCAGCCAUACCGCGUGGGUGAAGAAGGCCUUCGGGUUGUAAGGCCCUUUUGUUGGGAAAGAAAAGCAGCAGGUUAAUACCCCGCUGUUCUGACGGUACCCAAAGAAUAAGCACCGGCUAACUUCGUG
This 492-nucleotide ribosomal RNA is filed under the name uncultured bacterium. RNAcentral describes it as "partial 16S ribosomal RNA". It matches the Rfam family "Bacterial small subunit ribosomal RNA", at positions 29 to 507 of the family's 1533-position model. The record is from RNAcentral.